GUAUUUAUAGCCUGGAGCGUGAGGGGGCAAGGACACGCGCUUUAUUUCGGAAGUGAUAAUUCCAGCUCCAGGCUGUCUGGCCCAGGCAGCUGCCCGGCACUUCGGAGAAACUGAGGCUCAAACCACUCCAGAGAUGACAAGUCCUGUCACCUUCAGGGAGGCGGAGGCCAAAGACAAAACUUGAAGGUCAGAGUCCAAGGCUGCCAAGCUUCGCCCCUGGGAAAUAAAACUUAUCAAAAAUGCUA
RNAcentral lists this long non-coding RNA (245 nucleotides) under Homo sapiens (human). Its description in RNAcentral is "HSALNT0290932". The record is from RNAcentral. Lineage: Eukaryota; Metazoa; Chordata; Mammalia; Primates; Hominidae.